UACGGAGGGGGCUAGCGUUGUUCGGAUUUACUGGGCGUAAAGGGCGCGUAGGCGGUCAGCACAAGUCAGUUGUGAAAUCUCCGAGCUUAACUCGGAACGGUCAACUGAUACUGUGCGACUAGAGUGCGGAAGGGGCAACUGGAAUUCUCGGUGUAGCGGUGAAAUGCGUAGAUAUCGAGAGGAACACCUGCGGCGAAGGCGGGUUGCUGGGCCGACACUGACGCUGAUGCGCGAAAGCCAGGGGAGCGAACGGG
This 254-nucleotide ribosomal RNA is filed under the name uncultured bacterium. RNAcentral's name for it is "partial 16S ribosomal RNA". It matches the Rfam family "Bacterial small subunit ribosomal RNA", at positions 524 to 776 of the family's 1533-position model. The record is from RNAcentral.